RNAcentral lists this ribosomal RNA (275 nucleotides) under uncultured Eubacteriales bacterium. RNAcentral describes it as "uncultured Clostridiales bacterium partial 16S ribosomal RNA". It matches the Rfam family "Bacterial small subunit ribosomal RNA", at positions 67 to 339 of the family's 1533-position model. Lineage: Bacteria; Bacillati; Bacillota; Clostridia; Eubacteriales. The record is from RNAcentral.
UGAAGUUUUCGGAUGGAUUUAAAGCAGCUUAGUGGCGGACGGGUGAGUAACGCGUGGGUAACCUGCCUCACACUGGGGGAUAACAGUUAGAAAUAGCUGCUAAUACCGCAUAAGCGCACAGCUUCGCAUGAAGCAGUGUGAAAAACUCCGGUGGUACAAGAUGGACCCGCGUCUGAUUAGCCAGUUGGCGGGGUAACGGCCCACCAAAGCGACGAUCAGUAGCCGGCCUGAGAGGGUGAACGGCCACAUUGGGACUGAGACACGGCCCAAACUCC